GAGGUUGUGGCUCAGUGGUAGAGCACUUGCCUAGCAUGUGUGAGGCACUGGGUUCAAUUCUCAGCACCACA
Molecule: transfer RNA, 71 nt
Filed under: Marmota monax (woodchuck)
Lineage: Eukaryota; Metazoa; Chordata; Mammalia; Rodentia; Sciuridae
Description: tRNA.Ala
Rfam family: tRNA
About the family: Transfer RNA (tRNA) molecules are approximately 80 nucleotides in length. Their secondary structure includes four short double-helical elements and three loops (D, anti-codon, and T loops).
Source: RNAcentral